UACGUAGGGUGCAGGCGUUAAUCGGAAUUACUGGGCGUAAAGCGUGCGCAGGCGGUUUCUUAAGUCGGAUGGGAAAGCCCCGGGCUUAACCUGGGAACUGCGUUUGAAACUGGGAGACUUGAGUGUGGCAGAGGGGGGUGGAAUUCCACGUGUAGCAGUGAAAUGCGUAGAUAUGUGGAGGAACACCGAUGGCGAAGGCAGCCCCCUGGGUUAACACUGACGCUCAUGCACGAAAGCGUGGGGAGCAAACAGG
RNAcentral lists this ribosomal RNA (253 nucleotides) under uncultured bacterium. Its description in RNAcentral is "partial 16S ribosomal RNA". It matches the Rfam family "Bacterial small subunit ribosomal RNA", at positions 524 to 776 of the family's 1533-position model. The record is from RNAcentral.